RNAcentral lists this ribosomal RNA (423 nucleotides) under Potamonautes sp. 1 SRD-2015. RNAcentral's name for it is "partial 16S ribosomal RNA". The stretch from base 299 to 423 matches the Rfam family "Bacterial large subunit ribosomal RNA", at positions 2473 to 2598 of the family's 2925-position model. Lineage: Eukaryota; Metazoa; Arthropoda; Malacostraca; Decapoda; Potamonautidae. The record is from RNAcentral.
UUUUUAAUUGAAAUCUUGUAUGAAUGAUUAGACAAAAGAAAUACUGUCUUUGUAUUAAAAUUUGAAUUUGACUUUUAAGUGAAAAGGCUUAAAUAUUCUAAAGGGACGAUAAGACCCUAUAAAACUUUAUAUUAAUAUUAAAUUUUAUUAAAUUUUUAUUAUAAAGCUAAGGUUUAGUUUUUUAUUAUGUUGGGGAGACAAGAGUUAUAAUUUAUGGUAACUGCUGAAAGUAAAAUCAAUAAUAAUUGAAGUAGUAAAUAGGUCCUUUAUAUAGAUUUAAAGAUUAAGUUACUUUAGGGAUAACAGCGUUAUUUUUUUUAAGAGUUCAUAUCGAAAAAAAAGAUUGCGACCUCGAUGUUGAAUUAAAAUAUCUUUAUAAUGUAGGUGUUAUAAGAGAAGGUCUGUUCGACCUUUAAUUUUUUA